RNAcentral lists this long non-coding RNA (296 nucleotides) under Ornithorhynchus anatinus (platypus). Its description in RNAcentral is "lncRNA (ENSOANG00000039469.1)". Lineage: Eukaryota; Metazoa; Chordata; Mammalia; Monotremata; Ornithorhynchidae. The record is from RNAcentral.
AUAUUGGAUUGAAAAAUGACAGAUCGUGUAUGAACCUGCUGAAGAGCCUAUUAAUGCUCAACAUAGAGUUAAUAAUUGAAUAGCUGCAUCAGGUUAUUAGAAGAAUAAGAUACUUGGGCUGGAAGGGAGACUCAAGUCAUCAUUCAAUCUACUUGCUUUGCCCCAGUGAGCAAAGUUGACACUGAAAAUAACCAAUCAUCAUCUUCGAUAUGGACACCUUUCUCCAAUUAGAUUGAGCCUGAUGUCCAACCUCAGUGGCUGGAAAAACAAGAAAUGAAAGCAUACUGGCAAAGGGC